Molecule: ribosomal RNA, 1140 nt
Filed under: Triticum aestivum (bread wheat)
Lineage: Eukaryota; Viridiplantae; Streptophyta; Magnoliopsida; Poales; Poaceae
Description: partial small subunit ribosomal RNA
Source: RNAcentral
UUUUCCAGAUCAGCCCACACCUCUGCUUGCCGAUCAACUUCAGAUCACUUACCGCUCACCCUCUCCGCCUCCUCCAAAAUUCCCAAGCCUUCCAUAUUUAGGUUCAAUAAUGGCCUCUUGCGACUUGUCCCUUUUAAAAACAUCAUCUCAAAAAACUGGAGUAGUGUCCCCCCUUCUCAACACUUGGGAUCCCUAUGACUCAAGCUCAAACGUGUCCGAGCUGCCACAAAAUCUUGGGCCAAGCAGUCCAGAGCCCCAAUCGUGUUUGCUAAAAACUGUCAAACUGUCAUCACCUUCUUAGACAAGGUUAAGGAGUAUAGGCCGCUCUCCUCUCUGGAACGAUCGCUCCGCACCCAAGUAGCCCUUUCUCUCCAUCGUCCAAAUGCCCUCACCGCCUUGUACUGGCAUCGGCGUGCUAAAAUCAAAGACUGUCUUCUAGGGCACGAAAACUCGGACUACUUCCACCUUUGUGCCACUGUGAGGAUGCGUAAGAAUCACAUUAAGGCUCUGGUUUUAAAUGGUGUCGACGUGGCUUCUCAUUCGGGGAAACAUCAUGCCCUUUAGGGUUAUUUCAAGGAUAUUAUUGGCGUCCCUCUUGUGGGUGACUCUCUUUCGAAUCACCCUGACCUAGUCGCUUCUUCACACCUCACUGCAUCACAGGCUGAUGCUCUAACCAUGCCCUUCACGAUAGAAGAGAUCAAACAAGCUUUAUUCUCCAUGAGUGACAAUGCUAGUCCGGGUCCAGACGGCUUCGGGACGGCAUUCUACAAAGCAAACUGGGACCUUGUUAAGAACGGCCUACUACACCUUCUUUCUAGCUUCCACGCUGGCACUGCCGAUCUUGAGCGCAUUAACAAAUCCUAUAUCGUCUUAAUCCCCAAACAAAUCGGAACCUGCGACCCAGAUCAUCUGCGCCCUAUCUCUCUGCAAAACUGCCCGGUUAAGCUUUGCUCCAAAUGCCUUACUAAUCGGGUGCAACCUCUCAUCCCGGAUCUUGUCCACGCUGACCAAUCAGGGUUCAUCAAAGGUCGGAAUAUAGUCGACAACUUCAUUCUGGCUGCUGACAUCGUUCAAACAUGUUACAAACGAAAAUGCCCUUCCAUUGUGCUCAAAUUAGAUUUUAAGAAAGCCUUCAACUAG